This 239-nucleotide unclassified non-coding RNA is filed under the name Cistella albidolutea. RNAcentral describes it as "sequence contains 5.8S rRNA gene". The stretch from base 1 to 53 matches the Rfam family "5.8S ribosomal RNA", at positions 102 to 154 of the family's 154-position model. Lineage: Eukaryota; Fungi; Ascomycota; Leotiomycetes; Helotiales. The record is from RNAcentral.
GAACGCACAUUGCGCCCCUUGGUAUUCCGGGGGGCAUGCCUGUUCGAGCGUCAUUAUAACCCUCAAGCCUAGCUUGGUGUUGGAGCAUGCUACCCAAGCAGCUCUUAAAAUCAGUGGCAGUGCCCUUCGGCUCUAAGCGUAGUAACUUCUCUCGCUAUGGAACCCGGAGGGUACGCGCCAGAACCCCCAACUUUCUAUGGUUGACCUCGGAUCAGGUAGGGAUACCCGCUGAACUUAAG